AGAAUCAACGCUGGCGGCGUGCCUAACACAUGCAAGACGCACGAGAAAGGGUAGCAAUACCUGAGUACAGUGGCGCACGGGUGAGUAACACGUGAAUAAUCUACCUCCGAGUGGGGAAUAACUGAGAGAAAUCUUAGCUAAUACCGCAUAACACUUACGAGUCAAAGCAGCAAUGCGCUUGGAGAGGAGUUCGCGGCAGAUUAGUUAGUUGGCGGGGUAAUGGCCCACCAAGACGAUGAUCUGUA
RNAcentral lists this ribosomal RNA (245 nucleotides) under uncultured bacterium. Its description in RNAcentral is "partial small subunit ribosomal RNA". It matches the Rfam family "Bacterial small subunit ribosomal RNA", at positions 26 to 285 of the family's 1533-position model. The record is from RNAcentral.